This 506-nucleotide unclassified non-coding RNA is filed under the name Hevea brasiliensis (rubber tree). The record is from RNAcentral. Lineage: Eukaryota; Viridiplantae; Streptophyta; Magnoliopsida; Malpighiales; Euphorbiaceae.
GUUGUGACACAAUUUCAGCCGUAAUGCAUGCUUGGCUGAUUUCUUUACUGAAAGGUUUCUGGACCUUGGUUGAAAUUAUAAUGCCUAUAUUUCCCUACCUAUUCAAUUCUUAUAUGGCUGUAUGUGGGGGAAAUCUGACCUUUUUCUAUUUUUCACCAAAUGAGUUAUUUGGAAUUCUGUUGUUGCUCGUAACACUUCCUUGCCAUCAUAUACAAGUUUUCUGUAUUAUUCUUGAGUGUCAACACCACUCCUUGAUGACUUCUGUUUUAUUAGAUUGUUCUGAUUUUGACAUUCAAGUUAUCAAUUUAAUUGAUCUAAUUUAUGAAAUGCUUGAGCAUUCUUGUGAGUUGUGCACUUCUUUCAUGAUCCAUUACUGUCUAGUUAUCAUGGUUUCUUCCGUUAUUUUUGGUGGAAGUUUGGGUGCUGUCUUGAAAUUGUAUUUUUGAAACUAUUAUAAUGAAAAAUAUUGAUUUGUUAUAUAAGUGUGUUUUCUUGUAGGUACCUGG